Molecule: ribosomal RNA, 127 nt
Filed under: Lepisosteus oculatus (spotted gar)
Lineage: Eukaryota; Metazoa; Chordata; Actinopteri; Semionotiformes; Lepisosteidae
Source: RNAcentral
GCCAGCAGCCAUAUCGCCCUGCAACUCACAACUGGCAACCCACUGAAGCUAAGCAGGUGUGAGCCUGUUCAGUACCUGGAUGGGAGACCUCCUGGGAAAAACUGGGAAAAAAAGGUUGCUGCUGGAG